CGGGUGCACUGAUCCAGCCGGGCCUUUCCCUCUGUGGAACCCCAUGGCCCUUCACUGGCUGUGGUGGGGAAACAGACUUUUACUUUGAAAAAAUUAGGAGUGCUCCAGCAGCCUAUGCUCGAAUACAUUAGCAUGAUAAUAGAAUAGACGUGUGGUCUAUUUGUGUUCUAGGACGCGUAUGAUAUAGGGACAGUCGGGGGCAUCAGUAUUCAAUUGUCAGAGGUGAAAUUCUUGGAUCUAUUGAAGACUAACUACUGCGAAAGCAUUUGCCAAGGAUGUUUUCAUUGAUAAGGAACGAAAGUUAGGGGAUCGAAGACGAUCAGAUACCGUCGUAGUCUUAACUAUAAACUAUGCCGACUAGGGAUCGGACGAUGUUAUUCUUUGACGCGUUCGGCACCUUUCGAGAAAUCAAAGUGCUUGGGCUCCAGGGGGAGUAUGGUCGCAAGGCUGAAACUUAAAGAAAUUGACGGAAGGGCACCACCAGGGGUGGAACCUGCGGCUUAAUUUGACUCAACACGGGGAAACUCACCAGGUCCAGACACAGUGAGGAUUGACAGAUUGAGAGCUCUUUCUUGAUUCUGUGGGUGGUGGUGCAUGGCCGUUCUUAGUUGGUGGAGUGAUUUGUCUGCUUAAUUGCGAUAACGAACGAGACCUUAACCUGCUAAAUAGCCCGUACUGCUUUGGCAGUUCGCCGGCUUCUUAGAGGGACUAUCGG
Molecule: ribosomal RNA, 715 nt
Filed under: uncultured eukaryote
Lineage: Eukaryota
Description: SSU rRNA
Rfam family: Eukaryotic small subunit ribosomal RNA
Source: RNAcentral